This is a long non-coding RNA of Papaver somniferum (opium poppy), 3881 nucleotides long. RefSeq lists it as uncharacterized. The transcript is spliced from 14 exons. The record is from RefSeq and is a predicted model, not a curated record. NCBI's taxonomy places the organism in Eukaryota, Viridiplantae, Streptophyta, Magnoliopsida, Ranunculales, Papaveraceae.
UCUUCUACUUACUGAGUUUUUCUUUGGUUUCUCCGGCACUGCCGCCACCACAAUUACCACCAGAAGCUAUACCUUCAUCUACUUCUCCUUCUCGAUGAGAAACAAUGAUUCGAAGUUAACCACACAUCUUCUCAUCUUUUAGUUGAUUUUAGUUGGUCAUGAAAGGAUUUGCUAGGUACAAAUUAGGGGAGGAAAACAUUUCUAGCUAGAUGUCUCAGCAGCUUGGUUUUUCGAGGCAAAUAAGGCUCCAAAGGAAGCUUCUCAAUAAGGAUGUUGAGAAGUCAUUUAGAAGGCAGCUCAGGAAAUGUGAUAGCCAUUUGUAUACGUUUCCGGUUAGUAGCUUUUUUGGUCUUUUUAAACAAUACAUAAAGGGUUAUUAUGGGACUACAUCGCCGAUUUAGGUAUUGGUAGACAAAUUCGGCCUGACCGAUAUAGCGGUGCAAGACGGAAAGUAAGAGAGGACAUGGAUGACACUGAAAAUAUAGUACUGCUCAUUGGAGAUGAUAAUUUAUCACCGAAAGGAUAGUUUACACAUGGAGAAAGACACAGCAGCAUAGUGCGGAAGAUUCCCAAAAUUGCAUUUGAGUGCAGUUUACAUAGUUUGACUGGAUAAUCUGGAUUAUUAAUAUAAUAAAAAAAAGGGAAAAAGCGCUUUCAACUUGGAUGUCACUACAUGAAACUGGAUAGUAUUGUCCAAUUGGCUACCUGUAGGAGUUGUUUAAGAGAAUAUUUUCUCAACAGGAUAUGUAUGUAUGGUGACCUACAGUAUUUUAACUGGAUGAUCUGGAUUAUUAGUAUAAUAAAACAAAAGUGACUCCCUACUACAGUGAGUAGACAGUAUAUUCUAAAUGUGACCUCAGCUGGAGAAUGAGAAUGGUGUAUUCGUCAUAUAUUACUUGCAAAAAAAUCUUAUCAGAUGAACAAAAUAACUUCGUGGAAAUGCUCAUUCUCCUGAAGUCUGGGUAACAAAGAGAAGAUUGUGCAUCUUCGCCGUCUUUUAAGCAGACAAACAAUGUACAUAAACGAGAAUUCUCAACCAGGGACAAUCAGAGGUUGAAUUGGAGCUGAGGUCGUAAGAAGCAUUUGAAAUAUAUCCUCUGGCCAAAUUUCAUGGUGGCAGAGCUCAGUGCGACACUAACAUGAGAUAUUUGAAUCUGCCAACUCCAAUGAAGAUCUAUAAUUGUUAUAGUAUAAUGGGUAACACAAUUGAAGUAUUUGCUAUUGGAAUUUCUGUUUUGGUUAAUAACAAUUUUUAAUUGAUUUUAAAAUCCACAGACAGAUGUUGUUUGGUUGCAUUUAGUCUCUAGCUAUUUUACUUUGCUUUCCCAGCUAUUUUUUGUUUGUAAAAGCAGAAAACCGCAGUUCUACAAAGUAAUGGCCUUCAUUUGAGAUAUUCUGUUGUGCACCUAAUUUGGCAUCUUUUUUUACAUGGCUUUCAUUGGUACAAUCUGAAAUUUUACACCUUUGAGGCAGAAAUUACAAUCUAAGUUGAACAUUCAUUCAAACUGGAGGUUCAAAUCACUGGGGUAACAUCUGAUUUUUUCUUCUUUGCUCUCUUGCCACCCAUGUAAGUAGAUCUCUUUACAUGAGUGGGAAAAAAUAGAUUUACCAAUUCGAUUUUACUUCUUCUUUGGUUUUUCUGAAACUAAAGAUGUGAAUGUUAAAUGCUUUAGUAGUUUUUGUUCAAUUGAAUUGAUGGGUAAAUUUAUUUUUUCGGGGUAUAAAUGUGUCGAAAUGGAUAGUAUGCAUGUUGCUAUAUUCCUUUGAAUAAUGUGAUUGCUGUUGAUAUCAUAUGCAGUCUAGCAUAUCACAGUUUUAUCACUAUGUGAUAAGAUUGUCGGUACUAAAGCUACAUUAGUGGAGGGAGUCAUGACCCUUAGGUUUUGGUGGCUUCUCUACUUAACUAUGAACAUCUUGGGAAAGAGGUUUAUUAGCGAGUCGCUCUUAACUCAGUUUCAUCCUUUACUCUGAUUGUUUCUUAGUUAUAUACAGGGGUCAUACAUCUAACCUCCCUCUCUUACAUUUUUGUGUUAUAUACCCUUGCAUCUCAUUAUUUUUCAGGCGGAAUCCAAUAUAGCUGUGGAAUACUGAGUACUGAGCAUGAAGAUUCGUGAUUUUCUUAAAUUUAUUAUUAAUAAUAAUGCAAUCUUGAAACACUGUGGUAGUAGUUAUUCUUAUGUAAGAAGAGCUUUACCUUUUAUGACCUCGAGUAGCUGAUAAUUGCAGCUCAUAUCCUUGCACGUUUUGCAUUAUUGAUUUGGUUCCCCUUAAUUAGAAUACGUAAGAAACUAUAUGACUCUCAUCUGAAAUUUGCCAUGCGAGAGGCCCAACAGUAGACCUCCAGGAUCAUAUGGUGGAAAAUCAAGUGUUGCUGAAAAGUCGCAGUGAUCCAGAAGCAUGUAUUUUAGUCCAGAUUGAGCUCGUGUUAGAGGCAGGGUCUCCGGCUUUCAAUGCAGUUUCUGCUACGUUGAAGAGCUCUAAUGUAGAAGUCUCUUUAUUCCACUUCCAACACUUAGAAAGAUCUAUCUGAAGUCUGUUACCCCUGGAUAUAGCAACGUUCACAGCUUCAACUGACACCAGCAAGUGCUCCAUCUAGAAUUCUUAAACCUAAACGAGUUGAUACCAUUUCAGUUUUAUUUGUGUAAUCAAUAUAAAUUGUUUACUCUUCUGACUUUUCUUUCUGAUGCCAUGUUACAAAUGCAGCUACACUCCAAGCACGUUAGAGAGAAAUUCAGACAAGAACCCUCAAAAGAAAGUUAGAGAGAAUCAGAAGAUGAACGGCUCAGGCUUCACAGGCCUGAUUCGCAGAUAUAUAUGCUCAGGCUUCCGCUUCAUAAUAUCACUGAGAUAGUCAUUCAAGUGCUACCCCUGCAAAAAAAAUGGUAAUGAAGACCCCCCGCAAAAUCACAAACUGAUCUGUAAGACCUAAGGCGAACAACUUUCCUCCCAUCACAUCAACAUAAAGUGAUUUUUCACGGUCGAGGAGGUACAAUAAACCGUAAACGGGUGCAAAAUACUGGGAGGAGUUGUAGGAAGCAGCUACCUACAAUAGCUGUGAGCGCGAACAGAUUUAUUGGUUUGUUGGUCUUUGCAUCUCAAUAUAUCCAGGGGCCAGUGAUAAAUGCCAGAAAGAGAGAAGAAAGAUAAUUGAUGGGGUUGAUUUCCAACAUGUUCCCCUUAGUGAAUACAAGCAGAACAUGCAGUCAAUAGUCUCCUUCAUUAAGAUAAGAAAGCUUAAAAUGGGAAAUGUUUCGUGACAAGGGGGUAAUGGGACCAUGGAUGCCGAGGAAGCGUGAUAUUGGGGAUUCUAUGACUUUGACUAAUGUCCAUCAGGAUCUAUCAUAGGUGCAUUCAAGGAUGAGAAACGGGUGUUGCGUUAGCAUGUUGAAGUCUGUUGUCCAGUCUGAAGAGUUCCUUACAAACUCUAAAAGUUGUGUAAAAAAGUGGAUGCUGCAUUUCUCAGCUUAGCUUGAUAUAGCUAUAAUGCCCCGCAUCUCCCGUUUGACUACAUAAAUCAUUUGAAGAACCCAAGGGAAAUACGUGAAGAGGCCGAGAAUGCAUAUGAAGCAGGGUUAUAGACUUAAGAUCAUGAUUUAGAGACAAACGAUAUAGACUUUAAGAUCAUGCAUGAUGUUAGGGUUAUAUGUGCGUACGAAGCAGGGUGUCAGGUAUACUCUCUUCUGGCUAUGCCUUCAUGAGCAAACAAUUGGAAUUGUAUUUGCUGUCUUAGCUCAAAUGGCAGAGCAUAUGGUGUUUACCAUGUAGUUGUGGGUUCGACUCCCACAGAUAGCAUAGAUGUAUGAGUAAGCCAAAACGGUACAUGCAUUCUGAUACUCGUACAAAGAUAUAACGCGACAUAGGCAUACAUAUAAAAAACUUUU